RNAcentral lists this ribosomal RNA (894 nucleotides) under Halomonhystera disjuncta. RNAcentral's name for it is "SSU rRNA". It matches the Rfam family "Eukaryotic small subunit ribosomal RNA", at positions 87 to 987 of the family's 1831-position model. The record is from RNAcentral. Lineage: Eukaryota; Metazoa; Nematoda; Chromadorea; Monhysterida; Monhysteridae.
CCGCGAAUAGCUCAUUACAAUAGCCGUUGUUUCUUGGAUCCUCAAUUUACUUGGAUACCUGUGGUAAUUCUAGAGCUAAUACAUGCGACUAAGGGCCGAACUCACGUGACGCUUGCAUUUAUUAGAUCAAGACUAACCGGCUUCGGCCGUUAACUUGGUGACUCUGAAUAACUCAGCUGAUCGCACGGUCUAGUGCCGGCGACAUAUCUUUCAAGUGUCUACCUUAUCAACUGUCGAUGGUAGUUUAUGUGACUACCAUGGUUGUAACGGGUAACGGAGAAUCAGGGUUUGACUCCGGAGAGGGAGCCUGAGAAACGGCUACCACUUCUAAGGAAGGCAGCAGGCGCGCAAAUUACACAAUCUCAGCACGAGGAUGUAGUGACGAAACAUACCGAGGCGAUGCCCUUUCGGGUGUCGUCAUUGGAAUGAGUCGAAUCUAAAAAAUUCGGCAAGGAUCUAGUGGAGGGCAAGUCUGGUGCCAGCAGCCGCGGUAAUUCCAGCUCCGCAAGUGUAUAUCUAUGCUGUUGCGGUUAAAAAGCUCGUAGUUUGAUUCGCGUACUUAGCACGCAGUGUGGCCUUUCGGCUACUACUGUGAUGCGGUACAUUAUCGUCAGUUUGUCGUUGAUGCUCUUCAUUGGGUGUCAGCGGCGGCUGUCAAGUUUACUUUGAACAAAUUAAAGUGCUCAAUACAGGCGUUUCGCUUGUAUAGUUCUGCAUGGAAUAAUAGAAUAGGACUUACGUUCUAUUGUGUUGGUUUUCAGAACGAAAGUAAUGAUUAAGAGGGACAGACGGGGUCAUUCGUACUGCCACGUUAGAGGUGAAAUUCUUGGAUCGUGGCAAGACGAACUACUGCGAAAGCAUUUGACAAGAAUGUUUUCAUUAAUCAAGAACGAA